This 875-nucleotide ribosomal RNA is filed under the name uncultured bacterium. RNAcentral's name for it is "bacterial SSU rRNA". It matches the Rfam family "Bacterial small subunit ribosomal RNA", at positions 8 to 916 of the family's 1533-position model. The record is from RNAcentral.
AGAGUUUGAUCAUGGCUCAGGAUGAACGCUGGCGGCGUGCCUAACACAUGCAAGUCGAGCGAACCCUUCGGGGUGAGCGGCGGACGGGUGAGUAACGCGUGGGUAACCUGCCCUAUACACACGGAUAACGUACCGAAAGGUACGCUAAUACGAGAUGACAUAUUUUUAUCGCAUGGUAGAAAUAUCAAAGCUCCGGCGGUAUAGGAUGGACCCGCGUCUGAUUAGCUAGUUGGUAAGGUAAUGGCUUACCAAGGCGACGAUCAGUAGCCGACCUGAGAGGGUGAUCGGCCACAUUGGAACUGAGACACGGUCCAAACUCCUACGGGAGGCAGCAGUGGGGAAUAUUGCACAAUGGGCGAAAGCCUGAUGCAGCAACGCCGCGUGAGCGAUGAAGGCCUUCGAGUCGUAAAGCUCUGUCCUCAAGGAAGAUAAUGACGGUACUUGAGGAGGAAGCCCCGGCUAACUACGUGCCAGCAGCCGCGGUAAUACGUAGGGGGCUAGCGUUAUCCGGAAUUACUGGGCGUAAAGGGUGCGUAGGUGGUUUCUUAAGUCAGAGGUGAAAGGCUACGGCUCAACCGUAGUAAGCCUUUGAAACUGAGAAACUUGAGUGCAGGAGAGGAGAGUAGAAUUCCUAGUGUAGCGGUGAAAUACGUAGAUAUUAGGAGGAACACCAGUGGCGAAGGCGGCUUUCUGGACUGAUACUGACGCUGAGGAACGAAAGCGUGGGGAGCAAACAGGAUUAGAUACCCUGGUAGUCCACGCUGUAAACGAUGAGUGCUAGGUGUUGGGGGUCGAACCUCAGUGCCGCAGUAAACGCAUUAAGCACUCCGCCUGGGGAGUACGGUCGCAAGACUGAAACUCAAAGGAAUUGACGG